GUUCCUACGGUGCCCAGCAGCCUGGGCUUUAUGGACAGGGUGGCGCCCCUCCCAAUGUGGAUCCUGAGGCCUACUCCUGGUUCCAGUCGGUGGACUCAGAUCACAGUGGCUAUAUCUCCAUGAAGGAGCUAAAGCAGGCCCUGGUCAACUGCAAUUGGUCUUCAUUCAAUGAUGAGACCUGCCUCAUGAUGAUAAACAUGUUUGACAAGACCAAGUCAGGCCGCAUCGAUGUCUACGGCUUCUCAGCCCUGUGGAAAUUCAUCCAGCAGUGGAAGAACCUCUUCCAGCAGUAUGACCGGGACCGCUCGGGCUCCAUUAGCUACACAGAGCUGCAGCAAGGUGUGCACCCAGCUGCAGGUGCUGACAGAGGCCUUCCGGGAGAAGGACACAGCUGUACAAGGCAACAUUCGGCUCAGCUUCGAGGACUUCGUCACCAUGACAGCUUCUCGGAUGCUAUGACCCAACCAUCUGUGGAGAGUGGAGUGCACCAGGGACCUUUCCUGGCUUCUUAGAGUGAGAGAAGUAUGUGGACAUCUCUUCUUUUCCUGUCCCUCUAGAAGAACAUUCUCCCUUGCUUGAUGCAACACUGUUCCAAAAGAGGGUGGAGAGUCCUGCAUCAUAGCCACCAAAUAGUGAGGACCGGGGCUGAGGCCACACAGAUAGGGGCCUGAUGGAGGAGAGGAUAGAAGUUGAAUGUCCUGAUGGCCAUGAGCAGUUGAGUGGCACAGCCUG
Molecule: small RNA, 732 nt
Filed under: Pan troglodytes (chimpanzee)
Lineage: Eukaryota; Metazoa; Chordata; Mammalia; Primates; Hominidae
Description: processed transcript
Source: RNAcentral